CUGGGGCUGGGGCUCAGUGGUAGAGCACUUGCCUAGCACAUGCAAGGUGCUGGGUUCAAUCCUCAGCACCACA
RNAcentral lists this transfer RNA (73 nucleotides) under Marmota monax (woodchuck). Its description in RNAcentral is "tRNA.Ala". It matches the Rfam family "tRNA". From Rfam's summary of the family: Transfer RNA (tRNA) molecules are approximately 80 nucleotides in length. Their secondary structure includes four short double-helical elements and three loops (D, anti-codon, and T loops). Lineage: Eukaryota; Metazoa; Chordata; Mammalia; Rodentia; Sciuridae. The record is from RNAcentral.